RNAcentral lists this long non-coding RNA (6453 nucleotides) under Sus scrofa (pig). RNAcentral's name for it is "lncRNA (ENSSSCG00040028946.1)". The record is from RNAcentral. Lineage: Eukaryota; Metazoa; Chordata; Mammalia; Artiodactyla; Suidae.
UUUUUUUUUAGGGCCACACUGGUGGCAUAUGGAGGUUCCCAGGCUAGAGGUCUAAUCGGAGCUGCAGCCGCCAGCCUCUUCCACAGCCAGCAAUGUGGGAUCUGAGCUGUGUCUGUGACCAACACCAUAGCUCACGGCAAUGGUGGAUCCUUAACCUACUGAUCAAGGCCAGGGAUCAAACUGGCAUCCCCAUGGAUACUAGUUGGGUUUGGAACCUGCUGAGCCACACCAGAACGCCCCUCUUUUAUUUCUUGUAGAAUUUGAAAGAUGACUGGGCGUGUGUGGGACCUUAGCAAAUACUGAGUAGGUAAGAGAGUGAUGCCCAGAGCGUGACUUUUUCUACAAAGAAGGGUAGGUGGCACAGACUGUCCCAGGAAGUGAGAGAGGUGGGAAUGGUACCGUGGGAGGGACAAUUUUUUGGUCAUGUCCAUGGCAUGUGGCAGUAACCCAUGCCACAGCAGCAGACUGAGCCACUGCAGCGACAGUGCUGGAUCCUUAACCUGCUGUACCACUAAGGCACUGCUUAGUGGGUAAUAAACAGACCGGAAGGGACAGGGCUUAUUAACAACAGUGACAAUGCUUUCCACAAAUUCUAAUGUGAAAUCAACCCAGAAAGAAGUACAGAAACUCACAGGCACCCUGGGACCCCUGCGGGAAGACAGCAUGGGGAAUGCUUAAAUAGGAUGGCUUGGCCAGAGGACUGGGGACUGCACCUUAGGGCUGGGGCUUGUUCUAGAGGUCCCAUGUUUCUGGCUGGACAUCUGGCCUGUGUGUAGCGCCCCGGGGGUGGUAUGGAAGAGGGAGAACUUUCUGAGCCCUACCUGGGUACCUGGUUCUGGCCCCAGAGGUGUUCCUGGGCUGUUUGUCCCCAGGAGCAGGGGAUGGAACUGCCAGAAUUUAAAAUGGCUGAGCUCGGUCCUUGUGCUUUUUGGGGGUCACUGCUCCCUUUUUUUUUCACUUUUCCUCUUUCUCUUAAUCUAAUGCGCAAGACUAAAUCCAACUUAAUUAGGAUUAUAUGUCUUAUAAAUUUAGUAUUUAAUAUUCAAGCAGGCUCUCCCCCGCCCCUGUAUUUCUUAAAGGUAUCCUGGGAGGAAUGUUAAUGAGUCGCGACGUCAUACACAUUUAGAUCGAAGGAGCUGAAAGCAGGGGAGGGGGACAGAGAGGUACAGAUCAUUUUCGGAGCCCAAAAGGAUGAAAUGCGCCUCUUGGAUUGGGACUGGCUGGGCAGAAAUGUGAUUUCAAGGUUCAGAGCUCUGCGCUGUGUUCUUGUCCUAAGCGGCGUAGAGCCGGGGUGUGCUGUGCGCUGGCCAGUCAGGCUGGCUUUGCAUUUGAGCACAUGCUUUGCCUUCAGGAUGCCAGAGCACACAUUUCAGUGAAUGACGGUGGAAACAUCCUAGCUUGAUGCUGCACCCAUUCUGUCUCCUUCUCUGGCUGCCUGGAAGCAGCAUUUGGUGUAGAUUCAGCAUUUGCACGACUGACCUUAAUGCCAAACCUUCAUCCGGAAGCUGAGUGUUUUAUAAUCAAAAUAACAGAGGGAGGGGGACCCUUGAGGCUCAUCUCCAGCCCUGGGCAAGAACUUUUCCAUGGUCGUACUCCCCAUCGCCCUUAUUUCUGUGGAUCUGAAUGAUGCACAAAUUGCCCUCUCUCCUGAUGAAACUGGCUUAUUGAUCCAUCUGAACUGAGAGGGGUGCAGAGGGAUACAGUCUCCCCUCCCAUCCCCCGUGACGUCAGAUAGCCCUGGUUUUCCGGCCCCUCUGAGGAAGUAGAGGGCUCCUGGUCUGGUCCACUGUUCAAUUCCUUUCUCCACCCCGCCGAUCCGAGUCAGCCUCCUCUGCCCCGCUCUGGAGGCGCUGGUACAGUGGCACAGCCACGGGCUGCUCUCUUAGGAGGGCUGCUCUCUUUGUCUUUAGUGGUGCUGUAGGAGUGUGCUCUGGGCUGUCUGUGCCCGGCGGGCUGGGGAGGAGGGGUAAGAGGUGUCCAGACAGACCAGGGGCAGACCCUGCCCUUUUCCUGCUGGGGCUGAAUGAGAUCCAGCAUCUACUUCUUGCAGGCGCUUCCGGUCCCUACAGCUGAGCUGCCUUCUUGGCUCAGAUUCAGGGGACCGUCUUUCCCCAUGGAAAAGGGAGGAAAGAGCCAGUGUUCUUUCCCCCAGGACUUGAACUCUGUAUUUUUGAAAAUUGUCUUAACUUCUCUUUUGCUUUCCGCUUAUAUAAACUGUGUCUGGGAGGAAGAUGUGAAAAGAGCUGGAGAUAGGACUUUCUCGAAAGUUUCUGGAAGCUUCUGUAAGAAUGUAGGAAACAAACCCAAGUAAUAUCCAUGAGGAUGUGGGUUCAAUCCUUGGCCCCACUCAGUGGGUUAAGGGUGCGGUGUUGCCAUGAGCUAUGGUGUAGAUCGCAGGUGGAAAACUUGGAUCUGACGUUGCUGUGGCUGUGGCAUAGGCUGGUGGCUAUAGCUCUGAUUCGACCCCUAGCCUGGGAACCUCCAUAUGCCACAAGUGCUACCCCCCCCCCAAAAAGGAGUAUAGGAUAUGCUUCAUACCUGGUAUUUUCAGGUUUGAGGCCUCAGCUAUGAUUCUGCAAGCCCAGGAAAAUAGAGAAGUAUCAUUCGUUAAAUCUGACAUGAGUUUUCCGUAACUGAAGUGAUAUUUUGACGCUACCUGCAGAAGCGCCCCUUCCAUCUUCAUGUUGUUCAUUUGCUUGGUUUUUCUUGUUUCUUUUUUUGAGGGCUUUUUAAUUUUUAUUUAUUAAUUUAUUUUUUAUCUUGUUAGGGCUGUACCUGUGGCAUAUGGAAGUUCCCAGGCCAGGGGGGUCAUAGUGGAGCUACAGCUGCUGACCUACAGCACAGCUCAUGGCAGCACUGGAUUCUCAACCCACUGAGCGAGGCCAGGGAUCAAACUCUUGUCCUCAUGGAUCCUAGUCGGGUUUAUUACUGCUUAGGCACAAUGGGAACUCCUGAGUCUUUUUUUCUUUUCUGUCAUUCAUUUGUUCAUACCUUCAUUCAUACAUUGAAUUCCUUGGCUCUUGUGUCCUGCAGUGGGCUUAAGUUAGGGAUACAGAUAUGAAUACAGAGAGCCAGCCCUGCCUCAAAAAGCUUCUAGGCAGGUAGGGGGUAGACCAGCUCAUGCAUGAAAGUUCUCAAAGAGGGGAGGAUAAAGGGCCAUGGGACAGCGUAUGGGGGUACCAGCUGAGUUGGUGGGUGUGCCAGGGAAGGCUCUCUGGAGUAGUGGUAACUAAGAUGAGCCCUGAAGUCUAAAUAGGAACUAGCUAGACAAAGGGGAUCAGCAGUGUAGGCAAAGGGAACAGCAUAUGCAAAGGCUCAGAGGGCAGAAAAAGGUACAUUUGGGAAACAGGAGGUUCAGGGUGACCUAAUCAUACAUAGGGCAGGGUGUGAGGACUCAGGGGUGACGUGAUAGUUGGCAGUAGAGUUGUGGCUGGAGCCUAUCAGAAAGGGCCUGGCUCCAGGAGGGGACUUUAUCCUGGGGGCAAAAGUCAGUCCCUGGAGGUUGUCCUAUAGGAACUGGUACCACCUGUCUCCUGGUUAUAAAACAAGCCUUGGCUGUGGGGGAAGAAUGGCUUGAAGGGGCCACUCCUAGAGUCAGAGAGACCAGCUAGGAGGCUGCUCCCAUGUUUUUCUGGUUGUCUGUUAUUUGCCUAGUCCAGGGGAGGGAGAGAAGUUGGUGGCCUGGGCUAGAACCAGUUAGGACCAGAGAAAGGUAGGUGGCUUCAAGGAACAUUUUGUUUCUUAUUUGCUCAUGCUCAAUUUUCACUGUAGAAAGAGCCCCUCCACCUGUGCUCCCAUCUCGGUGUCCCCACAUCUGCUGUCCUUUUCCAUGGGCACCCCAAAGAUUCAAAAUCACAGAUGCUAGUCCCUUAGCUCAGGGGUCAAAACCUAUAAGAGUGUGAGAUGGGUUGCCAUGGAAACCCAGAGCAAAUGGGGGUUUGGCCUGGCAGAUUGGAGGUGAGUGAUGGAGGCAAAAAAAAACGCUGUGAUGAGCUGAGGAGUUUUGGCUCAGAGUCCACCCUGACACAGGCCGAGGAGAAGGGAGUUGUUCUGUAUGCGUAGCAGAGACCUGCCAGGCUGGAUGGGGAGGCCAGGCUGCCUGGGAGAAGCCAGGUCUGAGUUCUGACCUGGUGGGAAGUAUUGGAAGGGGUGGUUGUAACUAUGGCAACCACAGACCUGUGGGUACAGAGGGCGGCCUGUGGCCUGAGAUCUGAAGGGCAAGGUGGGUGUUGCAGGUGCCUAGGGAUGGGCAGCAGAUCGAUGAUAGACAGAUCAGGCUGUGGUCUCCAGAGCCAGGAGACAGUCUGGGAGGGACACUCCAGUGCUGCCCACUGAUAAUGUUAUGGUAACACACUAGGCCCCUGUCUCUCUGGGCUCUUCUCAUAUUGUCUGCUUCUUCUGUAGUGAACUUUCAGGACAGAGUCCUGGCAAACCUGUGUUCCUUGCCCUCCCACUACAGCCUUCACAUCUCCCUUUAUUCUUAUGUGUGUGUGUGUGUGUGUGUGUGUGUGUUUGGUCUUUUUAGUGGGGCACCCAUGGCAUAUGGAGGUUCCCACGCUAGGGAUUGAAUUGGAGCUGUAGCUGCCAGCCUACAGCACAGCCACAGCAACCCAAGAUCUGAGCCACGUCUUCGACCUACACCACAGCUCAUAACAACGCCGGACCCUUAACCCGCUGAGCAAGGCCAGGAAUAGAACCCAAGUCCUCAUGGGUAUAAGUCAUAUUCAUUAACCACUGAGCCACAGCGGGGCUCACCCUAGGUCAGGGAUUGAAUCUGAUUUGAGCUGCAGCUAUGAACUAUGCCACAGCUGCAGCAACACUGGCUCCUUAGCCCACUGUGCUAGGCCAGGGAUCAAACCCACACCUCUGUAGCACCCUGAGCUGCUGCAGUUGGGUUCAUAACCCACUGCACUACAGUGGGAACUCCCAUCUCUAUUUUUUUUCUGUCUUUUGUCUUUUUAGGGCCACACCCACAGCAUAUGGAGGUUUUCAGACUAGGGGUCUAAUCAGAACUGUUGCUGCCAGCCUACACCAGAGCCACAGCAACACCAGAUCCGAGCCGCAUCUGUGACCUGCGCCACAGCUCAUGGCGAUGCCAGAUCCCAAACCCACUGAGCAAGGCCAGGGAUCGAAUCUGCAACCUCAUGGUUCCUAGUCGGAUUCAUUUCUGCUGUGCCACGACGGGAACACCCCGUCUCUGUUUUUGUGCACCACCCUGCUCUGCUCCACCACGGGUCAUUCUCCCUCUUCUCUGUCCCCUAUCCCUCCCCCCAGCUGGUCAUCAGACCCCUUGUGGGGCCGUGCUGACUCCUGGUGGGAAGACUUCCCAGUAAUGUUUCACAGCCUGUGGAAAAGAAGCAGACAAUGGCUAGAAUCUCAAAGGCCCCUGAAUCUCUUCCCACUCCCGGCCCACGGGGAGCCCGCCUCCUUCCUCAGUUUCUUCCUUUUGUAGUGGGUGACCCUGCAGCUUGCUGGGGUGGCCAGAUGCAGGGUGAAGGGGGGAAACUCACUCAGUUAGCAGGGACCCCUCAGAACGGAGAGUGCAUUCCUGUGGCCAGGAGCUGCCUGGCCAGGGGCUCUGAGGCUAUGAGGGGGCGCGGUCUGGGCAGAGGCCUGCAGGGAUUGGGGCUGCCCCGUCUGGGGCAUUGGUGGUUCCAGGAAGAGGGCUGUUCUCUCAGAGCCCUCUCUUUGGCUGAUUUUGCAUUUGAAUUACAAACAGGGAUAAAGCUGGAGGCAGAUGGGAGCAGCAGAGGGAACCCUGCAGGCAGCGGGGAGCCUGAGCAGAGGCAAAAAUGAGGCUAAUCUUACGUGUGUUAUAUCUGCCAGGGAGGUGCCUGGCUCACUUGGCAUCGAGAGCCUUCUUAGGAGAGGUACAGAGAAGGAUGGAGGAGGGGUUAAACAGGAAGGCACCCUUUGGGCUGCCUCCCCCCUCCACCCCGGGGGCUAAUAGAGCUUGGGAAUCUUCUCCAAGCAGGCAUGGUGAUUCUUAUAACACAACACAUCUUGGACUCAGGAAAGGAAAACUGGAGGAGAAUAAAAACGGACCCUCUGAAGUUCAAAUACACUGCUCCCCAGCGGGGUCGCUUUCCAUCCCUCUCCUCCAAACACAGCCUUUCCCGUGUUUGCUGUUCUGGUGGCCGCUGUCAUCUCUCGAGAUGGAGUUUUCCAUUCUUGGAAGGAAGCUCUGCCCAAGCCAAGGGUGUGGCCACAACUUCCUAAAGCGCCCGUGGAGCCCCACCGAGAAACUCAAGGCCACGGCCCUGGGGAGCGGUGGGAGGCUCUACGGGUGUCUGGCUGGUGGAUCUCUGCUCCGGGCCCCAGCUAACAGGCUGUUAGCAGCUUCCCCAAGGAGACACACGUUUUUAGUUGCAUCACUUUCACAGGCUUUUCUCAUCAGUUCAGCUUUUUUAUUUGUUGUUCUAAGCUGCUGGCUUACCUUGUCUUUAUCAGCUC